AUUUAUAUAGUUUAAUUAAAACAUUAUAUUUUCAUUAUAAAAAUAAUAUUUUUAUAUUUAUAAAUU
RNAcentral lists this transfer RNA (66 nucleotides) under Spathius agrili (emerald ash borer parasitic wasp). RNAcentral describes it as "tRNA-Glu". Lineage: Eukaryota; Metazoa; Arthropoda; Insecta; Hymenoptera; Braconidae. The record is from RNAcentral.